CCCCUAGAUGUUCUGUGCCGCACGCGCGCUACACUGAACAGUUCAACAAGUCUUAACCUUGGCCGAUAGGUCUGGGUAAUCUUUGAACGCUGUUCGUGAUUGGGAUAGACCUUUGCAAUUAUGGGUCUUCAACGAGGAAUUCCUAGUAAACGCAAGUCAUCAGCUUGCAUUGAUUACGUCCCUGCCCUUUGUACACACCGCCCGUCGCACCUACCGAUUGAAUGGUCCGGUGAAAUCUCGGGACGGCGGCUUGGUCGCUUGCGUCCGACUGCUGAAACUUGAUUAAACCAUAUCAUUUAGAGGAAGGUGAAGUCGUAACA
RNAcentral lists this ribosomal RNA (320 nucleotides) under uncultured eukaryote. RNAcentral describes it as "partial 18S ribosomal RNA". It matches the Rfam family "Eukaryotic small subunit ribosomal RNA", at positions 1470 to 1796 of the family's 1831-position model. The record is from RNAcentral.